This is a long non-coding RNA of Panthera uncia (snow leopard), 1158 nucleotides long. RefSeq lists it as uncharacterized. The record is from RefSeq and is a predicted model, not a curated record. NCBI's taxonomy places the organism in Eukaryota, Metazoa, Chordata, Mammalia, Carnivora, Felidae. The transcript is spliced from 3 exons.
AAGGGCAAUUCCCAGGCCAGGUUUCUGUCAGACAAGAGACAAUCUAUGGAGACCAUACCUCGGAAGCACAGAGGCUUGCAAACACUCAGGGAGCAUACCUCAGGACCUUAGAGACAGAGUCACUCAUGUGAGUUUCAUAGUUUGAAGUCAUACGAGAGCAGAACUUCCAACAAGGUAUUGCUGUAAACCUAAACCUCACGGAAGGCUAUUAUAGCAUCGGGAACAGAUGGUGAAGAUUUCCAUAAAACAGAAAGGGAAACAGACUUGUCUGAAGUGAGAAAGGAUGGAUGGAAAAAUCAGCAUCGUUGCCUCUCCUGUAGGUUACCAUCGUUGGGUUGAGCCAGAAGACUCCGGCUUUGUUUGUUGCUAUUGUUGUGGCUUUUGUCCUGUAUUUGUUUUUCUCACUUAAUAUCCAUAUUUUGAAGGAAAUAAAAAAAAGACUUAAGAUUUAUUCAAACUCCCAUUUCCUCUUCACAAAAUAGAAUAGGGGGGAGAACUUGAACUCUUUUCUGGAAGAUGGAAGGAAACUGUUUUGUGUGUUUUUUUUUUUUUUUAUCUUUGGGGUCACGCGUUGUUUUCGCCACAGAACUUCAAAGUGUCGCCCCCUGUGUGGAUGUUCUUAAUCGCUCACAAUGAAUAUGACGUAGAAGAAAAGGCAGGAGGAAGCAUACAUGUUGAAUUUACUCACAAUUGUGUCUGCAAAGUAGAACAGGGUCUCAUAUACUGUCUAUACAGUAGGCAAUGCAUAAAGAUUUGUCGGCUGAUUAUAUGACUAAAUGAGAGACAGUUGAAGAUAAAUUAUUCUUAAAAAACUUGAAUAAGUUAGCUCUUUGACCAGAUGGACAGUGUUUAAUAUUUAAAAAUAAAUCAUUGGGAGAGAAAAAGAGAACAGUACAUCCCAAAUUCUGAACAUUUAACUAGAAGACAUACAAAAUCCCUUCAAUGUAACCGAUCUCUGUGCUAUGAUUUAAGGCCUUUCAUGUUCCCAGACAACUGUCAAUUAGACAGCAGUUUUAUGGGGCAUCUGGGUGGCUCAGUCGCUUAAGUGUCUGACCUCGGCUCAGGUCACAAUCUCGGGGUUUGUGGGUUUGAGCCCCACCUCGGGCUCUGUGCUGACAGCUCAGAGCCUGGAGCCUACUUUGGAUUCUGUGUCUCCCU